GAUGAACGCUGGCGGCGUGCCUAACACAUGCAAGUCAAGCGAUUCUCUUCGGAGAAGAGCGGCGGACGGGUGAGUAACGCGUGGGUAACCUGCCCUGUACACACGGACAACAUACCGAAAGGUAUGCUAAUACGGGAUAAUAUGCUUUUAUCGCAUGGUAGAAGUAUCAAAGCUCCGGCGGUACAGGAUGGACCCGCGUCUGAUUAGCUAGUUGGUAAGGUAACGGCUUACCAAGGCGACGAUCUGUAGCCGACCUGAGAGGGUGAUCGGCCACAGUGGAACUGAGACACGGUCCAAACUCCUACGGGAGGCAGCAGUGGGGAAUAUUGCACAAUGGGCGAAAGCCUGACGCAGCAACGCCGCGUGAGCGAUGAAGGCCUUCGGGUCGUAAAGCUCUGUCCUCAAGGAAGAUAAUGACGGUACUUGAGGAGGAAGCCCCGGCUAACUACGUGCCAGCCGCCGCGGUAA
RNAcentral lists this ribosomal RNA (468 nucleotides) under uncultured bacterium. Its description in RNAcentral is "partial 16S ribosomal RNA". It matches the Rfam family "Bacterial small subunit ribosomal RNA", at positions 28 to 523 of the family's 1533-position model. The record is from RNAcentral.